GCUGGGAGUGGUGGUGCACACCUGUAAUCCCAGCAAAUCAGGAGGCUGAGGCAGGAGGAUUGCAAGAUUGAAGCCCACCUCAACAACUUAGUGAGGCCCUAAGCAACUUAGCAAAACCCUGUCUCAG
This 127-nucleotide small RNA is filed under the name Marmota monax (woodchuck). The record is from RNAcentral. Lineage: Eukaryota; Metazoa; Chordata; Mammalia; Rodentia; Sciuridae.